AUUGAACGCUGGCGGCGUGCCUAACACAUGCAAGUCGAGCGGUAACAGGUGUAGCAAUACAUGCUGACGAGCGGCGGACGGGUGAGUAACGCUUGGGAAUCUGCCUGUUAGUGGGGGACA
Molecule: ribosomal RNA, 120 nt
Filed under: uncultured bacterium
Lineage: Bacteria
Description: partial 16S ribosomal RNA
Rfam family: Bacterial small subunit ribosomal RNA
Source: RNAcentral